CUGGCUUCUCCUCCUGACCUAUACAGUAAAUACCUAUAGAGCACCUACUAUGUGCUGGACGCUGUGUUAGACAUUGGGGGGGGUAUGUCUUAGUUCAUUUGGGCUGCUAUAAGAAAAAUGCCAGAAACCAAAUAGCUUAUACACAACAGAAAUUUAUUUCUCACUGUUCCAGCGGCUAGAAAGUUUAGGAUCAAGCACUAGCUGACUCCCUAUCUGGUGAGGUCCUCCUCCUGGUUCAUGGAUGGCUUUCUUUCCAUAACCUCACAUGGUGGAAAUGGCGAGCUAACUCCGUGGGGUCUCUUUCAUAAGGGCACUCAUGCCAAACGGGAGGGCUCUGUCCUCAUGACCUAAUUACGUCCUAAAGGUCCCCACCUCCUACUACCAUCACCUUGGGGGUUAGGAUUUCAACACACGAAUGUAGGGGGACCCAGACAUUUAGUCAAUAGCAGUGUCAACAAAACUGACAAAGAUCCUCGUCCUCGCGGAGUUCAUAUUCAUUUUAGAUGGAGCCACGCUUUGUUCUUUUUGUUCAGAUGCUUCUCUGUAUUUCUGAGCCUCUUCGUGGGUAAAAGGGUAAAAUGGAGCAAGCUGCAUAAAAUGAGGCAACAGAGGUCUUGCACCACAAACAGCGCCGGCCGCCUGACCAUGGAUGGCGCAGGAGCGCUCUGCGGUGGGAUGAGCACGAGGCGAGGCCCCGAGGCAUCACCAGCGUCUGCGUGGGUACUGCUGCCGGUUCAGCUUCGGAGCUUCCCUCUUCCCGGGACGAAAUGCCUGACGAAGACGACAGUCUUGUCCCUGGAACCUGUGAUCUCUCUGCUCCCACGCUCUGGACCAGCAAGCUGCGGCCUGACUUGUGAAGCCUAGCUGGACUUGGAAGGAGACAGCUGGAGACACUGAUGAUGUCACAGUUUUUGGCAUAUAUUCAGAUGAACCUUAAUGUAUUUAUAACUAUGUCAUAUGAAGGAAGAUACAUUUAAUGCCAAACGAAAUACCGUGACUACAUUUAAUCAACAUAUGAGGAUAAUAAAGAAGUGGUUAGGCCCA
RNAcentral lists this long non-coding RNA (1044 nucleotides) under Ursus maritimus (polar bear). RNAcentral describes it as "lncRNA (ENSUMAG00000005055.1)". Lineage: Eukaryota; Metazoa; Chordata; Mammalia; Carnivora; Ursidae. The record is from RNAcentral.